Long non-coding RNA from Micropterus salmoides (largemouth bass), 590 nucleotides. RefSeq lists it as uncharacterized. NCBI's taxonomy places the organism in Eukaryota, Metazoa, Chordata, Actinopteri, Centrarchiformes, Centrarchidae. The record is from RefSeq and is a predicted model, not a curated record. The transcript is spliced from 2 exons.
UCCCCACCAACCACACUGCUGUUGCAAAGCACCUUGGGUGUUCCCAAACUUGCCCGCUGGUAACCCAUUACCUAGACAUACGGAGACAAACGGCACGAAGUGCUGGAGGGAGAUACAGCAUCAGAGAGAUUUUGCUGAGUUACAGCACAGCACAUCCAGAAAACUAUUUUGAACCUAAUUGAUUAUAAUAAUCUUUCAUUUUUGUAACUGCAAAAUAUGUGACAUACCAUACUGUUGUGUUUUAUUUGCUCUAACUUUACCCUUUUUGUCUAUAAAUAGUAGUCAACCUCUGAUGUUCUGUACACUGCAAACAUUUCCUCCAGUAAUGCCAAAUGUUGUGGCCUGUUCUUUUACACUCCUAUUUUCAAACCUUAUGUCACCAACUCUUUUCAACACAAAGUGAUGCACUUGCUGUUCCGUACGGUAGGCCUACUGCUUAUAUUAUUUCACCAUCUGUAAACAAAUGUAGCCUAAGUAGUGAAUGUGUGUUUGUGGGGAUAUGUGGUAAGGUGGGCUGGCGUGGCUACAGUGCCAAUGCUGAAUUUUUGUCCCACUCCGCCCCUGUAUGUCUUACAUAAAAAAGUCCGUUC